UUGUGGAAAUCUCACAGAUUCUUGGUUUAUCAUAUCCUUUAAUGUUAGAACAUGCGGCUAACUACUGGUCCAUAUAACAACUGGAAUCAGUAUAAAAUAGAUAAAUUGAAAUGGAGUUCCCAUUGGGGAUAUGUUGAUCUGCUCUGGCAGCUGGUUACUGAUCUUUUCAUUGCAGUCUAUUGACUGCUCUCCUCCUGCAUUGUUUCAAUAACAAAUAGAAAAUAAAAAUUGAAAUGGAAUUCCUGAUUGUUAAGUUCAAUUCUAUACCAAGGAAUCGUGGGAGUUUGUCAGAAUAUAAAAGGGCAAUGAGUUUAAACACCGGCAAUCUAACUAACCAGUCUCAUUCAGAGACAGAACAAAUUGGCAAAUACACCACGUUGGAAAACGAAGAUGAUGAUUAUGUUUCGUUGUGAUAAAAACAGAACUGAUUUAGCACAGACAUUUCCUCGCGCUUCCGUAAUAAAAUGUCAUCCGUUGGCCAUGCCAGAGUUCUUUAUAGAGAGGGUAGUUUAAAGGAGGCGCUACACAUGCUGCUUACUACACACAACCCUCCUGUAGAUUUUUCUACGCAUAUUCAAUUAUUGCAGACCUGCAUUGCGAAGAAUGCGCUCUCAGAGGGAAAGUUAAUCCACUCUUUCAUCACCGACAGGGGUUUUUCGUUUGCUUCAGGCACAUUUUUUCAAAAUAAACUUACCAACAUGUAUGUCAAGUGCGGUAGUUUAAUUCAUGCUCGUAAAGUGUUUGACGAAAUGAUAGAACGAGAUUGCUUCUCAUGGAAUGUGAUCAUUGCAGCAUAUGGAAAGCAUGGGUUUCCUCAGGAAGCAAGAACCCUGUUUCACCAAAUGAAAAAAACAGGCGUGCAACCCGAUCAGUUUACCUUUACAAGCAUGCUCUCAGCUUGUGCCAAAACAGCAGAUCUGGACCAAGGCAUGGACUUACACGAGAGUAUAAUAGAAAAGGGAUUUCUAUCUAAUAUCAUAGUUGCAAGUGCCCUGAUAGACAUGUACGCUAAAUGUGGAAGCAUGCAGAAGGCACGCGAGUUGUUUGACGAAAUGCCCAACCGAGAUGUGGUUUCAUGGACUACUAUAAUUACAGGAUAUGCACAAAAUGGUGUGGUUGAUGAAGCUUUAAGGCUUUUUAAAGAGAUACCUGAACCAAAUGUGAUAUCGUGGAAUGCAAUCAUUGCUGGAUGUGCUCAAAAUGGUCUUAUGGAAGAGGCUUUAAUGAUUUUUAAUGAAAUGCCUCAACCAAACGUGGUUUCAUGGAAUGCAAUUAUUGCAGGAUAUGCACAAAGUGGUCAUCUUCGGAAGGCUUUUAAGUUUUUAAAGAAAAUGCUACGUACAGGUGUUCAACCCAACCAGAUCACAUUUUCCAGCAUUCUCCCAGCAUGUGCCAGAAUGGGAGCUUUGAAAGACGGCAUGUAUAUCCAUCAGAGCAUAAUUGAAAAAGAAAUUUUGCCAGAUGUUGUAAUCGGGAGUGCCCUGACGGACAUGUAUGCAAAAUGCGGAAGCUUACACAAGGCACGCCAACUAUUUGACAGAAUGCCUCAACGAGAUGUGGUCUCAUGGAAUACAAUGAUUGCAGGAUAUGCACAAAAUGGCAUUUUUGAUGACGCUUUACUGCUUUUUAGAGAAAUGCCUCAACCAAAUGUGGGCUCAUGGAAUGCAAUCAUUGCUGGAUAUGCUCAAAAUGGGAUCGCUGAAAAAGUCUUGGACACUUUCAAUCAAAUGCAACAAACUGGUGUCCAACCUGAUCAGUUCACCUUUGCUAUCAUCCUCUCAACUUGUGCUAAAAUGGAAGCUUUGAAAAGGGGUAUGGACAUCCAUCAAAGCAUAAUCAAAAGUGGAUUUUUGUCUAAUGUUGUUGUUGGGAAUGCUCUAAUUGACAUGUAUGCAAAAUGUGGAAGCAUACAGAGGGCAUGUGCAUUGUUUGACAAAAUGCCUCAACGUGAUGUAGUCUCCUGGAAUGCAAUGAUUGCAGGAUAUGCACAAAAUAGUGCUCUUGCUGAGGCUGUAAGGCUUUUCAAAGAAUGGCCUCAACCGAGUGUGGUCUCAUGGAAUGCAAUAAUUUCUGGAUAUGCACAAAAUGGCCUUGUUGAAAAAGCUAUGGAGGUUUUUGAGCAAAUGCAACAAACAGAUGUCCAACCCAAUCAGUUCACCUUUGCCAGCAUCCUCCCAGUUUGUGCUAAAAUGGGAGCUUUGGAAAAGGGCAUGGACAUCCAUCAAAGCAUAAUUGAAUCUGGAUUUUCAACAGAUGUUGCAGUUGGGAAUGCCCUGAUAGACAUGUAUGCGAAAUGUGGUAGCAUACAGAAAGCACGUAAACUGUUUGACAAAAUGUGUCAACCUAACACAGUCUCGUGGACUACAAUGAUUGCAGGAUAUGCACAAAGUGGGCUUUUUGAAAAAGCUUUGGAGCUUUUUAAGCGAAUGCAAUUGGAAGGUACAAAGCCCGACUCCACAACCUUUGCCAGCAUCCUCCCUGCCUGUGCUAAAAUGGGAGCUAUUGAUCUAGGAAUGGAGUUUCAUCAAAAAAUAACUGAAUGCGGAUUUUUUUCAGAUGUUAUAGUUGCAAAUUCUAUGAUAGAUAUGUAUGCCAAAUGUGGAAGCAUACACAAGGCACGUAAAUUGUUUGAUAAAAUGACUCAUCCAAAUGUGGUCUCAUGGACUGCGAUGAUUGCAGGAUAUGCAAUGCAUGGAUAUGGAAAAGAUUCUCUGAAACUCUUCGAACUAAUGAAGCUUUCUGAAACAUAUCCAGACAAUGUAAGCUUUGUUUGUGUAUUAUUCGCAUGCAGCCAUGUGGGUCUAGUGGAUGAAGGCUGCAAAUACUUCAAUGAUAUGAGUAACUCUUAUUGCAUUGUGCCUACAUUAGAUCAUUAUGUAUGUAUGGUUGACCUUCUUGGACGUGCUAGCUAUCUAGAGGAAGCAGUGAACUUUAUCAUCAAAAUGCCAAUUAAACCUGAUGUUUUUGUGUGGAUGUGUUUGCUUGGUGGUUGUAGAUCACAUAAAAAUAUAGGGCUAGGAGAGUUUACAGCAACUCUUCUUUUUGAGUUGGAUCCUAAAAAUGGAGCACCUUAUGUUCUUCUGUCAGACAUUUAUGCAAAAAUGGGGAGGUGCAGUGAUGUUCAAAAGGUACGGGGAUUGAUGAAAGAUAGAGGAAUAAAAAAGAUGCCUGGAUGCAGUUGGAUUGAAAUCCAUAAAACGGUACAUGCUUUUGGUAUAGGAGAAUGAUUACCCACAAACACAUGAGACUAUGCAAAGUUGGAAAUUUGUCCCGCGAUAUGAAGACAGUGGAUAUAUCCCAGAUUCAGGACCUGUAUUCAAUGACGUGGAGGAGAAAAAUAUUCCAUUGGCACAAUACUGAGAAGCUGAAAAUUGUAUUUGCUUGUUAAACAUAUCCAUUGGAUCAACUUUUGGAGUUGCCAAGAAUCUUCAUGCAUGCUGCCAUGCUGCAAUGAGGGUUGUCUUUAUGAUUGCAAUAGAAACUGUUGAAAGAUGUGAACAGUUUCUGUCUCUGCAAACAUGGAAAAUGUUCUUGUACAGAUUUCUGAUCAUGCUAAGUGAAGCAAACGUUAAAUACAGUCUUGCACUUUAAUAAUGCGCCUUGUGCCAGACUUGCAGUGAUAAGAAUAAUCGGAUUGAUUUUCAAUAUCUAAAGAGAGUUGUUUCUAAGUUUUUGGAGAGCUUGACAAAAUCAUAUAUGUAGUAUGAAUCACUGCCUAGAUGUACUAAUGGAAUGUUUAUAAAAUCCUUGCUUGACACUACCAUAGAGGAGUCAUACCAUUGAACUAUUUUUCAAGAAGCCCAUUCAGCUCUGGAAUGAAAAUCUGGAAAAGGCGGAAGUAUUGGAAAUAUAAAAGAGAAGGAAACAUUAGAAGAGGGCUUCUAAUCAUUCCAAUGCUUGAGUGCAAUUAUGGGAACAUCUGUUGGUAGUUCUUUACCCCAACCUUUGUUGUUUCGUAUGCCGUACAUAUGUCAGGUCAACCAUUUGGGAUUUAAUCAUAUGCACCAAACUACAGAGCAAUCUGGUUGCUUGAGCUUCAACAUUUCCUUCAGGCAUCAAGGCUUGGCCAAUUAAUUCAUUCAAAGGGAGUCAAAUUUGAUCUAAUGCAAUGAGUUGAACCAUUCAAGGCUUGUGGAACAUGAGGAACAAAAUGCCAAAACAUUAGCUUCACGGUACCUAACCAUGAGUGCAGCACUGACCGAUUUAGGUUGUCCUAUAUUCCAUCCAGCUCUUGUAAUCUACCUAGAUGGGGCAGCAAAAUUGGAAAAAUAAAUUAGAGACAUACAGUCUCUUAAUCUCUGCA
Molecule: RNA transcript, 4303 nt
Organism: Cryptomeria japonica (Japanese cedar)
Lineage: Eukaryota; Viridiplantae; Streptophyta; Pinopsida; Cupressales; Cupressaceae
Gene name: pentatricopeptide repeat-containing protein At3g02330, mitochondrial
Exons: 4
Source: RefSeq, a predicted model, not a curated record